GUCUCUGUGGCGCAAUCGGUUAGCGCAUUCGGCUGUUAACCGAAAGGUCUGGUGGUUCAAUCCCACCCAGGGACG
Non-coding RNA from Pseudophryne corroboree (corroboree frog), 75 nucleotides. Lineage: Eukaryota; Metazoa; Chordata; Amphibia; Anura; Myobatrachidae. The record is from the annotation of a RefSeq genome assembly.